GACGAACGCUGGCGGCGUGCUUAACACAUGCAAGUCGAACGGUGAAGCUCCAGCUUGCUGGAGUGGAUCAGUGGCGAACGGGUGAGUAACACGUGAGCAACCUGCCCCUGACUCUGGAAUAAGCGCUGGAAACGGCGUCUAAUACUGGAUACGAGAAGGGUCCGCAUGGGCACUUUCUGGAAAGUUUUUCGGUUGGGGAUGGGCUCGCGGCCUAUCAGCUUGUUGGUGAGGUAAUGGCUCACCAAGGCGACGACGGGUAGCCGGCCUGAGAGGGCGACCGGCAACACGGGGACGGAGAAAGGGCCCAAACCCCUACGGGGGGCAACGGGGGGGAAUAUUGCCAAAGGGGCGAAAGCUGGAUGCAGCGACGCCGGGGGGGGGAGGACGGCCUUCGGGUGGUAAACCCCUUUCAGGAGGGAAGAAGGGAAAGGGACGGUACCGGAAAAAGAAGCACCGGCAAACUACGG
This 467-nucleotide ribosomal RNA is filed under the name uncultured bacterium. RNAcentral describes it as "partial 16S ribosomal RNA". It matches the Rfam family "Bacterial small subunit ribosomal RNA", at positions 28 to 506 of the family's 1533-position model. The record is from RNAcentral.